This 253-nucleotide ribosomal RNA is filed under the name uncultured bacterium. Its description in RNAcentral is "partial 16S ribosomal RNA". It matches the Rfam family "Bacterial small subunit ribosomal RNA", at positions 524 to 776 of the family's 1533-position model. The record is from RNAcentral.
UACGAAGGGGGCUAGCGUUGUUCGGAAUUACUGGGCGUAAAGGGCGCGUAGGCGGUGCCUCAAGUCAGGCGUGAAAGCCCCGGGCUCAACCUGGGAAUGGCAUUGGUGACUGCACGGCUAGAGUGUGUCAGAGGGGGGCAGAAUUCCACGUGUAGCAGUGAAAUGCGUAGAGAUGUGGAGGAAUACCGAUGGCGAAGGCAGCCCCCUGGGAUAACACUGACGCUCAUGCACGAAAGCGUGGGGAGCAAACAGG